Molecule: ribosomal RNA, 292 nt
Filed under: uncultured bacterium
Lineage: Bacteria
Description: partial 16S ribosomal RNA
Source: RNAcentral
GGACUACAGGGGUAUCUAAUCCUGUUCGCUCCCCACGCUUUCGCGUCUCAGCGUCAGUACCGUCCCAGAGAGCCGCCUUCGCCACGGGUGUUCUUCCCGAUAUCUGCGCAUUUCACCGCUACACCGGGAAUUCCACUCUCCUCUUCCGGACUCUAGCCACACAGUUUCCACCGACAGCUCGAGGUUGAGCCUCGAGUUUUCACAGCGGACUUGUGAAGCCGCCUACACGCUCUUUACGCCCAAUAAAUCCGGACAACGCUUGCCCCCUACGUAUUACCGCGGCGGCUGGCAC